Molecule: long non-coding RNA, 893 nt
Organism: Oncorhynchus kisutch (coho salmon)
Lineage: Eukaryota; Metazoa; Chordata; Actinopteri; Salmoniformes; Salmonidae
Exons: 2
Source: RefSeq, a predicted model, not a curated record
CACAUCCUCCCCCGAGGCAGGCUUUUUAAAAAGGGAGGCAGACAUUAACGACACAAUCCUUUGGGCAAAACUGAAAGAACUGACGCAAUGGCGUCAAGUGAUUCCACCCAACGAAUUUGACGAUAGACCAUUUUUUUAUGUUCUAUUAGCUACAUGGUGACAUUCAACCAUUGAUGUUUCAACCGGAAUAUAGGAAAGAGGAUUAGAAAGAAAUACUGGGAUUUAGCUAUAUCCGAUGCCAGCACCAAGAGGGCUAGCUAACAUCAUGCAGUGGGGAUGUUUUUCAGUGGUAGGGACUGGGAGACUAGUCCUAGUGCGUUGGUGAGUCCAAACGGCAUGACCAGGUACUCAGUGUCCACUGGCAGGGUCUUGAGCUUCCCCACAAAGAAGAAUCCUGCACCAGCAGGAGAGGCAGAAGGACAAACACUCCCAACAGCCAGAGAGUCCUCGAUGUACUCCUCCAUGGACUUGGUCUCAGGACCAGACAGGGAAUUUAGCCGGCCUCGAGGCAGUGUGGUGCCCGGGAGGAGGUCAAUAGCACAAUCGGCAGGACGAUGUGGAGGAAGUGAGGUAGCACGAGCCUUGCUGAAAGCCUCCAGGAGGUCAUGGUAUUCUGCGCGAAUGGCAGAGCGAUCUGAGGCUGUACUCAAUCCUGAAGGCAGACAUUCCGGGGAAGGCUAGAGCAGGUCCGCCUCCAACCCUUCGGGACCAUUCAGAAGGCGACACGACAAGACUCUACCUACAAUAUUCCAUGUAUAAAAACUGCUGUAACCUUUGUCUAAGCCCUUUUUCAGCUGACUCCUUACUGAGUCAUAUGACUAAGUCCGUGCACGUUAAACUGCAGGACAAGAUAUCUUUUGACUCAAUAAACUGCCAUUUUGCUACAACUGAAA